CAGAGUUCGUGCCCUCACGGGUAGAUCUCCCCACCCUUGUGUAUCUCCGUAUUCUUGUUGCUUUGGCAGGCCGCUGGGCUUCGGCCUGGCCACCGGCUCUGGGGCUGGUGCGCGCCUGCCAGAGGACCUCUCAAACUCGGUUUGUUACUGUCGUCUGAGUACUAUAACAAUCGUUA
This 176-nucleotide unclassified non-coding RNA is filed under the name uncultured fungus. RNAcentral's name for it is "sequence contains ITS1, 5.8S rRNA gene". RNAcentral also lists the same sequence under 1 other name. Lineage: Eukaryota; Fungi. The record is from RNAcentral.